RNAcentral lists this unclassified non-coding RNA (354 nucleotides) under Pyropia yezoensis (susabi-nori). Its description in RNAcentral is "ITS1". Lineage: Eukaryota; Rhodophyta; Bangiophyceae; Bangiales; Bangiaceae. The record is from RNAcentral.
CACAAACUAUUGACACAAACACACGCGAACCAAAUCGUCCGCACAGGUGGUGGCAAUGAAAGAGAGAAUCUGCAUGUCGCCUUUCGGGGUAUAGCAAGCAGCACUCUUCUGCCAUCGCCUCUGUGCCGGGCGUAAAUUCUCAUUGAGAGGAUGUGAGGGCACCACAGGAAGCUUUUCCACAGGAAGUCGCCAUCCUUCUCCCUCCACGGCGGCGCUUCUGUGCUUGGCAGUUUUUUUUUUUGCCUUCCAGGGAGGAUGCCGCCAAUGGAGCCCCAUAUAAUAUAUACAUCAUCAUAUGCCCCUUUUUUUCUUAACCGCUUGCCACAGCUUCUUCUAUGAGGAGCUUGUGGGAAG